This 468-nucleotide ribosomal RNA is filed under the name uncultured bacterium. RNAcentral's name for it is "partial 16S ribosomal RNA". It matches the Rfam family "Bacterial small subunit ribosomal RNA", at positions 28 to 507 of the family's 1533-position model. The record is from RNAcentral.
GACGAACGCUGGCGGCGUGCUUAACACAUGCAAGUCGAACGGAAAGGCCCUGCUUUUGUGGGGUGCUCGAGUGGCGAACGGGUGAGUAACACGUGAGUAACCUGCCCUUGACUUUGGGAUAACUUCAGGAAACUGGGGCUAAUACCGGAUAGGAGCUCCUGCUGCAUGGUGGGGGUUGGAAAGUUUCGGCGGUUGGGGAUGGACUCGCGGCUUAUCAGCUUGUUGGUGGGGUAGUGGCUUACCAAGGCUUUGACGGGUAGCCGGCCUGAGAGGGUGACCGGCCACAUUGGGCCUGAGAUACGGCCCAGACUACUACGGGAGGCAGCAGUGGGGAAUAUUGCACAAUGGGCGGAAGCCUGAUGCAGCAACGCCGCGUGCGGGAUGACGGCCUUCGGGUUGUAAACCGCAUUCGCCUGUGACGAAGCGUGAGUGACGGUAAUGGGUAAAGAAGCACCGGCUAACUACGUG